AUACAGAGGGUGCGAGCGUUAAUCGGAAAUACUGGGCGUAAAGCGCGCGUAGGCGGUUAUUUAAGUCAGAUGUGAAAUCCCUGGGCUCAACCUAGGAACUGCAUCUGAAACUGGGUAACUAGAGUUUAGGAGAGGGGAGUAGAAUUUCGGGUGUAGCGGUGAAAUGCAUAGAGAUCCGAAGGAAUACCAGUGGCGAAGGCGACUCCCUGGCCUAGAACUGACGCUGAGGUGCGAAAGCGUGGGUAGCAAACGGGAUUAGAAACCCUAGUAGUCC
This 274-nucleotide ribosomal RNA is filed under the name uncultured bacterium. RNAcentral's name for it is "partial 16S ribosomal RNA". It matches the Rfam family "Bacterial small subunit ribosomal RNA", at positions 523 to 796 of the family's 1533-position model. The record is from RNAcentral.